CCUAGCGGCCUUAGCGCGGUGGUCCCACCUGACCCCAUGCCGAACUCAGAAGUGAAACGCCGUAGCGCCGAUGGUAGUGUGGGGUCUCCCCAUGCGAGAGUAGGGAACUGCCAGGC
Molecule: ribosomal RNA, 116 nt
Filed under: Escherichia coli
Lineage: Bacteria; Pseudomonadati; Pseudomonadota; Gammaproteobacteria; Enterobacterales; Enterobacteriaceae
Also listed under: 2 other names
Source: RNAcentral